Long non-coding RNA from Tupaia belangeri chinensis (Chinese tree shrew), 542 nucleotides. RefSeq lists it as uncharacterized. The record is from RefSeq and is a predicted model, not a curated record. Lineage: Eukaryota; Metazoa; Chordata; Mammalia; Scandentia; Tupaiidae. The transcript has 5 exons.
UACCGUGGAAGGAACUGAGAGCCCACGGAAUCCAGGACCCUGCUGGCCAUGAGACCCUAUUUCCAAAUCCAAAGUCACAUUGUGAAAUUCCAGAAGAAAUUUUGGAAGUACAGUAACACUAACCAACUCAGCACAGCUGUCAAAGUUCUUAAGAAGUUGACAAAGGAAGAGCUGAAAAUGAAGAGUUUGAAAUGAGACAGUUUUGCAGACAUUUGGGCAAUUCCCUUGAAAGAUAGAAACAAGAGUCAUUCUGGAAAUCGCCAGUCAGUCCUAUCAUUUUCCUGUUCCAAACUGCCCAUUAACUUUCGGCGCACAGUAAAAUCCUGGCUCAGCAGUGGCAGCAUGUGCUGUUAAGAGACUAUGCUGUCUUGGCUUUUUAUUCUGCAAAUCCCUGCCUUCUUCACUAAUCAAAAGAGCUGCCAGGAGGAGCGAAGGCUGAUGUCAGAGCGGCCCGGGCAGUGAUGCUCAGAACAGCCCCAGGACUUCCUGCUUGGGCCCUUUAUCUGCCGGAGGGAGGGACAGCCUGUUCUCCCUGCGGGAGC